Molecule: ribosomal RNA, 494 nt
Filed under: uncultured bacterium
Lineage: Bacteria
Description: partial 16S ribosomal RNA
Rfam family: Bacterial small subunit ribosomal RNA
Source: RNAcentral
GACGAACGCUGGCGGCGUGCUUAACACAUGCAAGUCGAACGGUGAAGCGCCUUCCUUUUUGGCGGGCGUGGAGGAGUGGCGAACGGGUGAGUAACACGUGAGUAACCUGCCCCCUUCUUCUGGAUAACCGCAUGAAAGUGUCGCUAAUACGGGAUAUUCUGGGUCUGUCGCAUCAUGGGUCUGGGGAAGAUAUUGUUUCGGUGGGGGAUGGGCUCGCGGCCUAUCAGCUUGUUGGUGGGGUGAUGGCCUACCAAGGCGGUGACGGGUAGCCGGCCUGAGAGGGUCGACGGUCACACUGGGACUGAGACACGGCCCAGACUCCUACGGGAGGCAGCAGUGGGGAAUAGUGCACAAUGGGAGCCAGCCUGAUGCAGCGACGCCGCGUGAGGGAUGGAGGCCUUCGGGUUGUGAACCUCUUUCGCCAGUGAAGCAGGCCUGCCUCGUUUGUGGGUGGGUUGACGGUAGCUGGAUAAGAAGCGCCGGCUAACUACGUG